This is an RNA transcript of Toxorhynchites rutilus septentrionalis, 2218 nucleotides long. It is a transcript of the gene named lipoprotein lipase-like, with no coding region annotated. Lineage: Eukaryota; Metazoa; Arthropoda; Insecta; Diptera; Culicidae. The transcript has 4 exons. The record is from RefSeq and is a predicted model, not a curated record.
UUAGCCGGUGUGGUUUGCAGGCUUGACUUACUUCGAACUCAUUUUGUUGGUGCUUAUCAUCUGGUAGAAUUUUUAAAUUACAUUUGCCCGAAAGCUCACGGCGGGAAGCAAUCAUGGUGAUAACGAAGGUGCAAUUUGAAUGACAGUCUGCGUUGAAGUGUACCUUGUUUGGAGGACGUAUAAAACCAAUUUGUUCGCAAUUUUGAAGCCGGAUUGAUGUCUCAGGCUGGCUGCGUUUGCUUCCGGUAUCAUGCAUCGAAAGAUCAUAAUACUGCUCUUAGCGAGUGUCAGAAUAUCUUAUGGAGAUGAAGACACACAGCCUAUCAGUUUAAACCGGUUCGGGUUUGCGUCUAGCUUUAGCGCGAAACGUGACGUGCGCUUCUAUCUGUACACGCCUCUGACAGCAGAUAUGCCACACGUGUUUUCAAUUGAUACCGUUGGUUCGUUGUCUCGAUCGUUCUACAACAACAGUUUACCACUGCGUGUCGUCAUACAUGGAUGGAUGAAUAAUUACACAUCGUUGGCGAUUCAAGGUGUCAAAGAUGCAUAUUUGGCCCGUGGAGAGUACAACGUUAUUGGUGUUGAUUGGAACAAGGGCGCCUCCGAGGUUUACUUGCGUUCGGCCCAAUACACUUUGGCUGUUGGUUACGUGGUAGCAGAUCUCAUCAAUCGCCUAGUGCGCUUAAAUAUGGCUGCCAUGGAUCAAAUAUAUCUCAUUGGGCACAGUUUAGGUGCGCACAUAGCGGGAAACGCUGGUCGACUGGUAAGCGUUGGGAAAGCGAAAGUGAUUUUCGGAUUGGAUCCAGCAUCGAUCAAUUUUUUCGAGGAUGAACCUGAUGCGCGUCUCAGUCCAGAUGAUGCGGAGUACGUGGAGGUAAUUCACACCAGCACCCAGUUCUCUGGGUAUCCCCACCCUGCUGGUCAUGUCGAUUUCUACGUCAAUUACGGGAAAAAGCAACCGGGUUGUCUGGCUGAAGCUUGCAGUCACGGGAGAUCCAUUCAGAUUCUUAUGGAAUCACUCUCGAAGCAGAGCAAUGGAUUUUGGGGGGCUCGCUGCAGUGAUUAUAGCGAGCUGAAGGCGAAAACGUGCUACAAUUUGAAACAGCAAGCCCUUCUCGGAGGGGAUCCUCCGCGGUGGGAAAACGCAAAGGGAAUCUACGUAGUGGUUACUUCGGUGGAACCCCCGUACGCGUUGGGCUACAACUACUGAGUUGGCUUUGGAUGGAUGGUGAUAAAGAUUGGAACUCGCUCAAAAGUGUAUAUGUUUUGAAGUGUUAUUUUUCUCAGGGUACAAUUCUACUGAAUAAAUGGGAAUUCAAUAUUAAAGUAAGGCACCGGGGAAUGUUGAAAUUCGGGUGAUUUUCAACUCAAUUUGGCUGGUUCGUCACUUUUACUUCCAUUUUUGGAAGAAUGUCGGGAAUGAGAAUUGAACUCGUGACCAUUAGCGUGAGAAGCAUGGAUGUUACCACUACGCCAGAUCGCCACAAGUAUUCUUGAUGUUAUUGUUUCGUAUAUUAAUUCCUAGUAUGUAGUGUCCAUUUUGCGUAUUUUAGACUAUUCUUCCACAUCUCGCGUGUGCCAAAACCAUUUUUCCAAAUUUUUACAUGUGAUUCCAUCAAUUUAGUGUUGCAUAAAUCAAUUGUAGAUAGUUCGAGAAGCAAAACCGUUCGAAUAAAUCGUUUCAACUUGCCCCGGUAUACCUUAUAUAAUCUUGUCAAUUUGUCUCCUGAUUUAAUUUUUUGAAUACUGGUUAAAAAAAACAAAAGCGACAAAUCUUAUAACUGACUAGCUGACCCGGCAAACUUCGUCCCGCCCAAAAUUUGUUUUUUGUUAUCAAUGCCUUCAAACAUUCACGUUUUCUUACUAUGAGCAAGUUCAUGGGUUCAAUUGCAGAACUGUUCAUUGAUUGAUCUUCUAUUCGUCUCCAUUGAAUUUACUUUUUUCUAUAAAAUUCCCAGUAUUUCUAACAAAACUCAUCAUUAUAAUAUCAGAUUAUUUUCAGACACAAUCCUCGUUCAAGAUUUUUCAACCACUUUGAAAUAAGAUGUUUCUCCGUUACAUGGAAUCAAUGUUUUAUACAGAAAAUAUAAUAGAAUAAAGACAGCCCUAAAUCGGACAAUUCCUUCCUCGAGUUCUGCUCAUAUCAACACAUUCGGCGAUACUUUUUUAUUGGUAUCUAUAGAAGAAGAUAUGGGAGUACAUGAUGCGCACCCUUAGA